ACGCUGCUGAAGAGUCCCAUACUAGGACAAAACGGCCGUCCAGCGA
Molecule: non-coding RNA, 46 nt
Organism: Schistosoma margrebowiei
Lineage: Eukaryota; Metazoa; Platyhelminthes; Trematoda; Strigeidida; Schistosomatidae
Source: Rfam